UACGUAGGGGGCAAGCGUUGUCCGGAAUCAUUGGGCGUAAAGAGCGUGUAGGCGGCUCGAUAAGUCUGCUGUGAAAGUCCAGGGCUCAACCCUGGAAGGCCGGUGGAAACUGUCGGGCUAGAGUCCGGAAGAGGCGAGUGGAAUUCCCGGUGUAGCGGUGAAAUGCGCAGAUAUCGGGAGGAACACCAAUGGCGAAGGCAGCUCGCUGGGACGGUACUGACGCUGAGGAGCGAAAGCGUGGGGAGCAAACAGG
Molecule: ribosomal RNA, 253 nt
Filed under: uncultured bacterium
Lineage: Bacteria
Description: partial 16S ribosomal RNA
Rfam family: Bacterial small subunit ribosomal RNA
Source: RNAcentral